Long non-coding RNA from Oreochromis niloticus (Nile tilapia), 1268 nucleotides. RefSeq lists it as uncharacterized. Lineage: Eukaryota; Metazoa; Chordata; Actinopteri; Cichliformes; Cichlidae. The transcript has 2 exons. The record is from RefSeq and is a predicted model, not a curated record.
UCCAGUCUCUUUUUUCGUAGCUCAAAUUUCUGUAAUUUCCUUUAUAAACCAAGGUUGUUGGACAUGUGUCUCAGUGAACCCAGCAAGGUAACAAUAUCACAUUUCACAUUACAUAUUACUGAUCAACAUGGUAGUCUAGCUACACCAACAGCAGAAAUACUGAAGUCAAUACUGUAAAGUUUAACAGCAGCACACACUAUAAACUCUGAAAUAACCAUACAGUUGAUUCAUCUCCGGUAAUUUAAUUGGGCUGACUCUUUGUUAGGUGUGUUUAAUGUGCAGAAUAAUUCCCAAUUAUGUACAAUUAUAAUAUGUUAAAACGGACUUAUGUACAUAAGGCCAUUAAUAAUUAACUGUACGUAGCUAUUUGCUUUAUGACUAUCUAGACAGUGUGAAGAAGUGAAGUAUUGAAAUUAUUUUAUGUUGCAUAAUGACAACAUGUUGCCCCUAUACAUACAGGACAAAGUUCAAUGACCGCCACCAGCUGGAUGGUGAGUGCAGAGGGGCGUGUAAUUGUUGAGCUGGACAAAGAGAACACCUUUGCUGAUGCGAUGUCAGUCUUCUUUGGUUCAUUCUAUGUAUUGAACCUGGAAUACCAGGAGUCAGCGUGUGCAACAUUGGAACUGAUUCAGAAGUAUGUUUGAACAGUCAGCUAAUAGUGAUAGAUGAUGAAUAAAUUAUCCCUAAGUAACUCAUUAUUUCAAAUCACAACUCAAUGUUACUGUAUGUUACUAUUUAUUGUGGCAUGUUUUAAGGUUUUUUGUAAGGAUAAACCCUGAAGAGGGAACAAAAUGUAUCUCCAAGGUUGGGACAAGCAGAAGGACUGGGACCACUGUGAAGUGAAAGGUUGUUCACAUUAACCUUCAUGUCACAACUUUCCUCCAGUGGCUUACUGAAUUUGAGUGGAAAACUUCAAAUUAGAUGAUCCAUGGCCCAUGCUUUCUGGACAUUUACACAAGACGAACAACAAUGAAGACAAGCUCUCUCACCAUCUUGCAAGACGCUGUCUCUGUCCAAUAGGUUUUUUGAGUGCAACAGUUUUGAUUUUCUUUUUCCUUCUUUUACCCGUUUGUUAAAAAUUAUUUCAGCUACUUACACUUUAAUUGUCACAUGUAUUGGCUCACCCUACAAAUCAAUGAACUCAGUCCUCAAAGCAAGGUCAGGGUUCAGUGCAGGUCAGUCAAGUUCCUUCACACCACACACGCUCAUCCAUGUCCUUGUGGACCCUGCUUUGUGCAUUGAUUUGGUGGUGUGAGCCAGUAUUUUGG